RNAcentral lists this transfer RNA (85 nucleotides) under Felis catus (domestic cat). It matches the Rfam family "tRNA". Rfam says of the family: Transfer RNA (tRNA) molecules are approximately 80 nucleotides in length. Their secondary structure includes four short double-helical elements and three loops (D, anti-codon, and T loops). The record is from Rfam by way of RNAcentral. Lineage: Eukaryota; Metazoa; Chordata; Mammalia; Carnivora; Felidae.
GCCUGGGUGGCUCAGUCGGUUGAGCGUCCGACUUCGGCUCAGGUCACGAUCUCACGGUUCAUGGGUUCGAGCCCCAUGUCAGGCU